AGUUUGAUCCUGGCUCAGGAUGAACGCUAGCUACAGGCUUAACACAUGCAAGUCGAGGGGAAACGAUAGAGAAAGCUUGCUUUUUCUAGGCGUCGACCGGCGCACGGGUGAGUAACGCGUAUCCAACCUGCCCAUCACUUGGGGAUAACCUUGCGAAAGUAAGACUAAUACCCAAUAACGUCCAUAGAAGACAUCUGAAAUGGAUUAAAGAUUUAUCGGUGAUGGAUGGGGAUGCGUCUGAUUAGCUUGUUGGCGGGGUAACGGCCCACCAAGGCGACGAUCAGUAGGGGUUCUGAGAGGAAGGUCCCCCACAUUGGAACUGAGACACGGUCCAAACUCCUACGGGAGGCAGCAGUGAGGAAUAUUGGUCAAUGGACGAGAGUCUGAACCAGCCAAGUAGCGUGCAGGAUGACGGCCCUAUGGGUUGUAAACUGCUUUUAUAAGGGAAUAAAGUGAGUCUCGUGAGGCUUUUUGCAUGUACCUUAUGAAUAAGGACCGGCUAAUUCCGUGCCAGCAGCCGCGGUAAUACGGAAGGUCCGGGCGUUAUCCGGAUUUAUUGGGUUUAAAGGGAGCGUAGGCCGGAGAUUAAGCGUGUUGUGAAAUGUAGACGCUCAACGUCUGCACUGCAGCGCGAACUGGUUUCCUUGAGUACGCACAAAGUGGGCGGAAUUCGUGGUGUAGCGGUGAAAUGCUUAGAUAUCACGAAGAACUCCGAUUGCGAAGGCAGCUCACUGGAGCGCAACUGACGCUGAAGCUCGAAAGUGCGGGUAUCGAACAGGAUUAGAUACCCUGGUAGUCCGCACGGUAAACGAUGGAUGCCCGCUGUUGGUCUGAAUAGGUCAGCGGCCAAGCGAAAGCAUUAAGCAUCCCACCUGGGGAGUACGCCGGCAACGGUGAAACUCAAAGGAAUUGACGGA
This 917-nucleotide ribosomal RNA is filed under the name uncultured bacterium. RNAcentral's name for it is "bacterial SSU rRNA". It matches the Rfam family "Bacterial small subunit ribosomal RNA", at positions 10 to 917 of the family's 1533-position model. The record is from RNAcentral.